AGCGAACGCUGGCGGCAGGCUUAAUACAUGCAAGUCGAGCGCCCGUAGCAAUACGGGAGCGGCAGACGGGUGAGUAACACGUGGGAACAUGCCCUUCGGUUCGGAAUAACUCAGGGAAACUUGAGCUAAUACCGGAUACGCCCUACGGGAAAGAUUAUCGCCGAAGGAUUGCCCGCGUCCGAUUAGCUAGUUGGUGAGGUAACGGCUCACCAAGGCGACGAUCGGUAGCNGGU
RNAcentral lists this ribosomal RNA (233 nucleotides) under uncultured bacterium. Its description in RNAcentral is "partial 16S ribosomal RNA". It matches the Rfam family "Bacterial small subunit ribosomal RNA", at positions 29 to 291 of the family's 1533-position model. The record is from RNAcentral.